UACCAGCACCCCGAGUGGUCGGGACGUUUAUUGGGCUUAAAGCAUCCGUAGCCGGUUCUACAAGUCUUCCGUUAAAUCCAGCUGCUUAACAGAUGGGCUGCGGAAGAUACUAUGGAGCUAGGAGGCGGGAGAGGCAAGCGGUACUCGAUGGGUAGGGGUAAAAUCCGUUGAUCCAUUGAAGACCACCCGUGGCGAAGGCGGCUCUCUGGAACGCAACUGACGCUGAGACGCGAAAGCGUGGGGAGCAAACAGG
This 253-nucleotide ribosomal RNA is filed under the name uncultured bacterium. Its description in RNAcentral is "partial 16S ribosomal RNA". It matches the Rfam family "Archaeal small subunit ribosomal RNA", at positions 474 to 727 of the family's 1478-position model. The record is from RNAcentral.